This is a long non-coding RNA of Cygnus atratus (black swan), 1013 nucleotides long. RefSeq lists it as uncharacterized. The transcript has 3 exons. Lineage: Eukaryota; Metazoa; Chordata; Aves; Anseriformes; Anatidae. The record is from RefSeq and is a predicted model, not a curated record.
UUCUUCUGCCCUACGGCUCGUGUUUCUCCCCCUACUGCACCCAGGACGCUCCGAGCCACAACCCCUCCCUCCAGCCCCGCGAACGCAAAGACCGCUUCUGUCGAUGUGGAGGCCGAGAAGGCGCUGUAGGGGUCCGCGACGAGCUUGGCGCACCGCAUCACCACGGCCAGGAGGAAGAGGCACAUGAGCACCACAGAGGCCAUGGCGAAGCCCUCGUCCACGUCAACAGCUGGCGGCGCCGCGGUGUUCUCCAUGCGGGUGGCCCUCAGGUGCUUGGCCCCGAGUUCCAGGCUGCCGGGGGCUUCUCUGCGGGACAGAGGCAGAGCUGCAUUGCCCAGGCAUCUGGACUGCUCAAUCCCUGCAGUAUUAGGUGCAACAGGGACACCGGGACUUGGCAGACCCUUCACAGAAAGGACGGUGGCUUGGGUUAGAAGUGGGCCGGGAGUUUGUGCGGGCUGGGAAAAAACACCAAGAAGCAAACAGGGGUGGUAACAGAGGGUAUUCUGAUUGCUUAAGAGACCUUUGUAGCAGUGGACAGAUAGAUUCAUACAAGGUUGGAGAGAAGUGGAGGCUUAUUCAGACUACUGCCAGGAAAGCCACAUGGACUGAACUGUGUGUAUACAGGUCUAUCUAUAGCUCUAUAAACACAUAAAUAUAUAUAAAGUAUGCUCCAGGAGCAAGUGAGCACAGCCUGGACUAUACCAAGGAUGGCACAUGAUGCAAGAGGAUCUGCCAAGUCCUGCAGUGCCCAGAGAUUGCUGGAAGUCCCCAGGUCUGAGUCUAGUCCCAUGUGUGCUGUUUGGGGCUGUUCCUUACCUCCCCACGGAUGGAUGGACAGACGGGCUGGUUGCUGUGCCCCGCUUGCUGCCCCGCUGUCUGCGGCCCUAGCGCUGUCCCUGACUGUGGCUGCCUUCUGUCACCAGGGCUUCAUGAAUACUGCAGGAAUGUGGCGACAUCACCUUUCAGGCACUCCCAGUAAUGGGAUCCUGUGGAUUAAAUUCUAACCCCCUUGA